CAGUAUAUAUAAACUUUCUUUAUAAUCAAUAAAGUAAAUUAGAUAAAACAAUGGUACAAUGAUAGAACAUAUUUGUGGUUUAUCCUUGUCAGUGGAUAACUGUGGAUACAAGGAUAGAACAUUUUUUGUCUAGAUAUUAUGUAAUAAACAUCAUUUAUUUGAUAUCUCUCUUUCAAAUGAGAUUACUUCUGAACGGUAAUAUAAAUACUCAGUUAUCUAUUUAAGCUCAAUUUUUAGUAUACCAAAAGAAAUUAAUUUAAUGAGUUCGACAAUUUGGUUUAAUGUAUUGGAAGCUUAAGAUAAAUCUAGAAAUUUAACCAUCACUAGUUUUCUUGUGUCUACUUUUUUCCCGAUAUUAUUUGAAGAAAAAAGUAAUUGACAGUUUUGUUGAGCAAUACUUCUAUAGCCGAAAUGGGAGUCAAAAAAAAAUUGAUAUUCUUCCAAAUGCUGCGACUGUUGAUCGUGAACUGCUUUUUCUAAGAUUUCUGAAACAGACAAAAGUAUCGAUAGUUUUCGACUUCCUGUUUUAAAAGAAAAAUUGAUGAUAAAACUCAAAGUUUAAAAAAUAACAUAGUGCAGCCUUGAAUUAUGCAAGAUAGUUCAGCCUUUAAUUAUGCAAAGUGGUCGUCAAAGUCGUCAGCACUUGUCGCCUUGUUUAUUUUUAAUUUGUUAAGCUUUUCCUCAUAGACUUAAUAGACAUACGAAAAAAAAUAAACUAAAAAAAAUCUUUAACGAAAUUGAACUUGAUUUUUUUCAGGUUAAUUCAAAAGUCAGGUUAAUCGUAUAGACUUAUAUUUUAAAAACCAUACACACAAAGAAAAAACAAAACAAAGAAUGUUAGAGUUUUUGUUUGGAACAAAUAAUAUAAAUGAUAUACUUUCAUCUUUCUUGAAUGGAACAGUACAAUCUUUCAUAACUUCAGGUUUUGUUGGUACAAAACGUUACAAAUUCGCAAUGGUAAUCAGCAUGAUGACUGCAUGACGGCUAUCUUAAGUAUAAAAAGUUUCGUAGAAAGACAGCUUUCAAGUAGAUUUUAAAUUCCAGUUUACAACUAUAUCUCUAAACUAAAGUUUCCCAUUCUUUCUAUUUCAUUUAUAUAUAUUUUUAAUUAUUGUUUAA
Non-coding RNA from Hydra vulgaris (swiftwater hydra), 1119 nucleotides. Lineage: Eukaryota; Metazoa; Cnidaria; Hydrozoa; Anthoathecata; Hydridae. The record is from RefSeq and is a predicted model, not a curated record.